GUUGUGAGCCAAUCGCGGAGAACACUGAGGUCGAUCAGGAGGAGCCCCCCCUGCAGCAGGAGUCGACCACCAAGUUCAUCAAGAAGAAGCAGCCUUCCAAGAAGGUCAAGAGCAAGUCAGAUUCUUCGAAAGAAUCGUCGAAAGAAGGGAAGAAAGAGUCCUCGAAAGAAAG
Molecule: long non-coding RNA, 172 nt
Organism: Clupea harengus (Atlantic herring)
Lineage: Eukaryota; Metazoa; Chordata; Actinopteri; Clupeiformes; Clupeidae
Gene: bbs9
Exons: 2
Source: RefSeq, a predicted model, not a curated record